Paramacrobiotus metropolitanus is the source of this 459-nucleotide long non-coding RNA. RefSeq lists it as uncharacterized. Lineage: Eukaryota; Metazoa; Tardigrada; Eutardigrada; Parachela; Macrobiotidae. The record is from RefSeq and is a predicted model, not a curated record. The transcript has 3 exons.
GCCGCUCCCGGUUGAGCAGUGCAUUAAUUUCUUUGUAAUUGUCAUGUUCCGAAUCGACAGCCGCUCGCAUCACCAAAGAACCAGACGAAACUGAAACGUUUUCAUUUGUUGCAUGCGCACAAGGACUGAGCGGACUUAUGAAUACACAGCCCGAAGCGUACCGUGGUAAAGCCGAAAUGUUCGCGCCAGCCAGUUAGCUACGGAUUUUUUCCCAGAUCCAGGACGCCCAAUAAAAAGCAGUCGAUGCAUGUACGGACGACGCUGAAUAGACUGAAGAGAGGAAAAUUGCAGGGCUGAAAUUAUCAUAUUAUACUAGCGGGAAAUCAACAUGGCUUGCCUUCAUUAAAUACUGCACCGAUAGACUGAUCGGCGUUGAUCACGAUACAACUCGGAUCGCCGUAGGCCAAUGUCGAACAGCUUUUGGAAAUCAGAAUGGACUCAUAUGCAAACUCUUGCAUA